This 468-nucleotide ribosomal RNA is filed under the name uncultured bacterium. RNAcentral describes it as "partial 16S ribosomal RNA". It matches the Rfam family "Bacterial small subunit ribosomal RNA", at positions 28 to 507 of the family's 1533-position model. The record is from RNAcentral.
GACGAACGCUGGCGGCGUGCUUAACACAUGCAAGUCGAACGGAAAGGCCCUGCUUUUGUGGGGUGCUCGAGUGGCGAACGGGUGAGUAACACGUGAGUAACCUGCCCUUGACUUUGGGAUAACUUCAGGAAACUGGGGCUAAUACCGGAUAGGAGCUCCUGCUGCAUGGUGGGGGUUGGAAAGUUUCGGCGGGUGGGGAUGGACUCGCGGCUUAUCAGCUUGUUGGUGGGGUAGUGGCUUACCAAGGCUUUGACGGGUAGCCGGCCUGAGAGGGUGACCGGCCACAUUGGGACUGAGAUACGGCCCAGACUCCUACGGGAGGCAGCAGUGGGGAAUAUUGCACAAUGGGCGGAAGCCUGAUGCAGAAACGCCGCGUGCGGGAUGACGGCUUUCGGGUUGUAAACCGCUUUAGCCUGUGACGAAGCGUGAGUGACGGUAAUGGGUAAAGAAGCACCGGCUAACUACGUG